GUCUGGCUGGCUCAGUUGGUUGAGCAUUUGACUUUGGCUCAGGUCAUGAUCUCAUGAUUCGUGGGUUUGAGCCCCACGUCAGGCU
Molecule: transfer RNA, 85 nt
Filed under: Felis catus (domestic cat)
Lineage: Eukaryota; Metazoa; Chordata; Mammalia; Carnivora; Felidae
Also listed under: 1 other name
Rfam family: tRNA
About the family: Transfer RNA (tRNA) molecules are approximately 80 nucleotides in length. Their secondary structure includes four short double-helical elements and three loops (D, anti-codon, and T loops).
Source: Rfam by way of RNAcentral